This 497-nucleotide ribosomal RNA is filed under the name uncultured bacterium. Its description in RNAcentral is "partial 16S ribosomal RNA". It matches the Rfam family "Bacterial small subunit ribosomal RNA", at positions 28 to 507 of the family's 1533-position model. The record is from RNAcentral.
GAUGAACGCUGGCGGCGUGCCUAAUACAUGCAAGUAGAACGCUGAAGGAAGGAGCUUGCUCUUUCCGGACGAGUUGCGAACGGGUGAGUAACGCGUAGGUAACCUGCCUGGUAGCGGGGGAUAACUAUUGGAAACGAUAGCUAAUACCGCAUAACAGUAGAUGUUGCAUGAUAUCUACUUAAAAGGUGCAAUUGCACCACUACCAGAUGGACCUGCGCUGUAUUAGCUAGUUGGUGAGGUAACGGCUCACCAAGGCGACGAUACAUAGCCGACCUGAGAGGGGGAUCGGCCACACUGGGACUGGGACACGGCCCAGACUCCUACGGGAGGCAGCAGUAGGGAAUCUUCGGCAAUGGACGGAAGUCUGACCGAGCAACGCCGCGGGAGUGAAGAAGGUUUUCGGAUCGUAAAGCUCUGUUGUAAGAGAAGAACGAGUGUGAGAGUGGAAAGUUCACACUGUGACGGUAUCUUACCAGAAAGGGACGGCUAACUACGUG